UUUUUUUUUUCCGGUCUCACGUAUUGAUUAUUCUCUCUCUCCGGCACCAAUUUCAGCUGCUCUCUCUUCCUUCACAUCUCCUAUUUCUCUCCCUCUAGUAGCUCAAUAAUUGGAGUGAGAAGAGAAAACGGAAGUUAUAGAGAGAUCAAGUCAGACCAGGCUACCCAAAUCGUGCUGCACGAUAGUAUUCAAUGGAUAGUCAUGGUUUGCCAACUCUCUCCUCAAAACCCAAGAUAAAUAUUAGAAAGAAGAAGAGGAAAAGUGACGGGGAGCAUGCUAAGGGUUUUAAGAAAAUGAAAGGGCUGAAGCAAGACUUGAAGAAUCUUGAUAAAGUAACCGCACAGCUGAGCAACAUAGUGGAAAACCAGGAAAAUCUCAUGGAUGACUUAUUGCAUCAGCUGAUGCUUGGAUCUGAUGAACUCGAGCUGCUCAAAGAGGAAUCUGCUAUCUCAUGUCCAGGAGGUCCCAAUUGGGAUGUCUGUGUGUCGGAAACAAAAGAUCCUGUAGACAUCAUCUCUCUUUUGAAAUAUCGCAGCAAGAUGCUUGACAGACAAAUUAAAAUUUUGUACGAGAUGAUGUUCAAAUGAUAAUUUCAUGUCAGUAGACAGAUAUGAAAAAUUCAUUAAUCAAACAGAAGGAAGACAAAAAUCUGUCAAAGCUGAGAAAUAAGCUAUUGCAAAAGCCUCAAUCCAUCAAGGAGUUGAAGAAACUCCGUUGCAAGCCCAGGCAUAUAUCCCAAACAUCAAGAGCAGUACAAGCUUUGAACUGCAUGGAGUGAACAGAUAACACUUCACAUCUGACAUCCGAGCAAAUCCGAUUAACAAUGGACUGGCUGCUAUUAAAAUAAUUUUUGUGUAUUCUUCUAUUUCUUUCAGCCUACACAAUCUGAGAAUUAUAUACUUAAAGGACUUCUUUUGCAAACUAUAUAA
RNA transcript from Populus nigra (black poplar), 929 nucleotides. RefSeq lists it as uncharacterized. NCBI's taxonomy places the organism in Eukaryota, Viridiplantae, Streptophyta, Magnoliopsida, Malpighiales, Salicaceae. The transcript has 6 exons. The record is from RefSeq and is a predicted model, not a curated record.